AUCCUAACCAAUGGCUACUAGUCUACAGCUGGCUCUAAAACUUCACUUCGUCCUAAGGGAAACAUGCCGCCUGAGUGAAAUUACUGAAUGUAUUCCACAAAUUUGGCUGAGUGGAAGGAAGGAAAAAGACUGUUGCCGAGGAACACCUUGAGACCACCUAUUGCCAAAGUGCUGGAUGAGGCCCAUCCUUGGCCAAAGGGAAGCCUUUUGGCAGAAUCUGAGGAAUCAGGUCCCGUAUACCACGGUUCCUGAGCCUGGCUCUCCCUCUUCUUUCAUUCCUGUUACCCUAGAAGUGUCAACUUUUCAUUUCAGAUCAUUGGUUGAACUUGUCCCCAUAUCAACAAUCUGUAUGGAACCAGCAAGCUCUGAGAGGACUAGCACACAACAGACAGCACAGCAGGGGCAUCUCUUCUCGCUCUGCUUCCACGAAGUGUCACCUCCCUGAGCCACAUGAGCCAUCCACUUGUUCUACGUCUCUCAUCUUCCAUUGGUAAACCCACGGGGAUCACCGUUUAGCUGCGGUAAUACAUAGUUUCUGAACGCUGGAACCUAAAGGAAAUUAUGUUGAUGCCAUCAAAACAUUUACCUCACAGUGGUGGGGUCAUGGUGUGAUAAACUUACCUACCAAAUGAAGAAACGCUCGACAGUUUAAAAACCGGUGUUUCUAUAAUCGCAUGAGGAAAACCUGGAUACAACAGCUGUCACUCUAGGAACCACAAGAGAUGAGUAAGCUGAUCCCCCUGACUAGGCAUGGAAUCCUAUCCCGCCCAUCACACAAGCAUCUAUGGGCAUUGCUGUGAAGAAUGACUUCUCAUGAAGAGAAAGAACAUCCCUCAGUCAAGGGUAACACUCAUUCACACCUCCAAAGAAGCUAUCAAGACUCCAUCCUGCCAAAAUCAAAACCAUCUUACCAGCAUAUGGAAUAAAUAAAUCACGUAUUUUAACCACGCUUCUUCUU
Molecule: long non-coding RNA, 958 nt
Organism: Camelus dromedarius (Arabian camel)
Lineage: Eukaryota; Metazoa; Chordata; Mammalia; Artiodactyla; Camelidae
Exons: 3
Source: RefSeq, a predicted model, not a curated record